This 619-nucleotide long non-coding RNA is filed under the name Solanum lycopersicum (tomato). RNAcentral describes it as "long non-coding RNA (SLYC_LNC000454)". Lineage: Eukaryota; Viridiplantae; Streptophyta; Magnoliopsida; Solanales; Solanaceae. The record is from RNAcentral.
GAUUCACAUAUGUAGUAUGUUUUCAUAAAUAAUGUGAGGAUGAUACAUUGGAAAUUAAGGAAAAUAUAAUACAUAUGAAAGCCAAAUCAUACAAGUUCAUUAGUUUAAUUAUAUUUGUAGCAUUAACAACUUUAAAGUCUAAAGUAACAUUAUGUAUCUUGGUACUGCGCUCAAGUGUAGCUUUAAGACUACGAAAUAUUUAUCAUCGGCCAUUACCAUCACUACCGGAACCACUCCCUACUCCAACACCUUUGCCAGCUCCACCACCAACACCUACUCCGAUACCAACCCCGAUUCCUCCACCAUGUCCACCUCCUCCUCCUAAUCCUCCCCCUGACCCACCACCUACACCUCCACCCGCACCAAAACCACCACCAUGACCUGAUCCUUCUCCUCCUCCACCUCCGCCACCACCUCCUCCUCCUCCUCCUCCUCCUACUCCUCCACCAGUUCCACCUCCAACUCCGCCACCUUCACCAAAUCCACCACCAUGGCCUGACCCUCCUCCAAGACCACCACCACCGCCUCCUCCUCCACCUCCAGCACCUUCUCCAACGCCACCACCUACACCACCUCCAGCUCCAAAACCUCCACCAUGUCCAAAACCACCUCCGAUACC